AACGAACGCUGGCGGCAGGCUUAACACAUGCAAGUCGAGCGCCCCGCAAGGGGAGCGGCAGACGGGUGAGUAACGCGUGGGAAUCUACCCAGCUCUACGGAACAACUCCGGGAAACUGGAGCUAAUACCGGAUACGUCCUUCGGGAGAAAGAUUUAUCGGAGUUGGAUGAGCCCGCGUUGGAUUAGCUAGUUGGUGGGGUAAUGGCCUACCAAGGCGACGAUCCAUAGCUGGUCUGAGAGGAUGAUCAGCCACACUGGGACUGAGACACGGCCCAGACUCCUACGGGAGGCAGCAGUGGGGAAUAUUGGACAAUGGGCGAAAGCCUGAUCCAGCCAUGCCGCGUGAGUGAUGAAGGCCCUAGGGUUGUAAAGCUCUUUCACCGGUGAAGAUAAUGACGGUAACCGGAGAAGAAGCCCCGGCUAACUUCGUGCCAGCAGCCGCAGUAA
This 447-nucleotide ribosomal RNA is filed under the name uncultured bacterium. Its description in RNAcentral is "partial 16S ribosomal RNA". It matches the Rfam family "Bacterial small subunit ribosomal RNA", at positions 29 to 523 of the family's 1533-position model. The record is from RNAcentral.